Molecule: unclassified non-coding RNA, 21 nt
Filed under: Chlamydomonas reinhardtii
Lineage: Eukaryota; Viridiplantae; Chlorophyta; Chlorophyceae; Chlamydomonadales; Chlamydomonadaceae
Description: small RNA Cre_3188
Source: RNAcentral
UGCUGCUGCCGUGUCCAUGGC